GCUUAAAAACACACCAACUCAUCCACACUGGAGAGAGACCGUUCAGCUGUGACGAGUGUGGAAAGUCUUUUACGCACAUUUCAAACUUAAAAUCACACCAACUCAUCCACAGUGGAGUUAAAGCGUACACCUGUGAUCAGUGUGGCAGAGCUUUUACUCACAGUUACAGCUUACAGAGUCAUCUAGUUACCCACUCUGGAAUUAAGGCGUACAGCUGUGACAUUUGUGGAAAAACUUUCAGCCAGAUAGGGAGCCGAAACAUUCACCUACGCAUUCACACCAGACAUGAUGUGUACAGCUGUGAUCAGUGUGGUAAACAGUUUACUACAAACACAGAGUUACGACGUCACAUGUUUACCCACACUGAGGAACGACCUUAUAAAUGUGACCUGUGUGAGAAGACUUUUAAAUCUCCACGUUACCUGAGACGACACCAACAGAUCCACACCAGAAAGACUCUACAAGUGCAGUUACUGUGAGAAGCAGAGCGACACAGAUGGAUCAAGUUCUCAACCCUGUCAUCGCUGUGGGAAAGACUUUUGUUGUGACCUUUGUGGAAAAACUUUAAGUCACUGAAGGACUCUGAAAAUACAUCAACGUAGACACACUGGAGACAAAAUGAACUACUGUAAAGAAUGCGGGAGAGGCUUCACCACUUCAAAGGACUUCAAACAAUAUGAACUCCUUCACAGUGGCGUUAAAAAGCAUGUCUGCGAUCAGUGUGGGUCAUCCUUCAUCAGUGCACGUCAGCUUGAAAAGCAUAAACGAGUCCACACAUGAGAGAAA
Oreochromis niloticus (Nile tilapia) is the source of this 786-nucleotide long non-coding RNA. RefSeq lists it as uncharacterized. The record is from RefSeq and is a predicted model, not a curated record. The transcript is spliced from 2 exons. NCBI's taxonomy places the organism in Eukaryota, Metazoa, Chordata, Actinopteri, Cichliformes, Cichlidae.